CGCACUGCGCGCACCUACCCCUCUUCGGCAACGCUCCCAUGGUACGGCCCAACCUCCCUAAAUGGGCACGCUGUGCUGUCAGGGACACGGUGUAUCCUCUCUGCAUCAUGAUGGAUGGUAGUCAGGGUUCUUUGUCCCUUGUGAUGAAUUUGUUUUAGCAAUUGACUCAGGUCAUCAUGUUGCCACAGUUUUCUUGCCAAUGUGAGAUUCAUUCCAAUAAGGGUAUAAAAGGCUGUGCCAAGGCAAGUCACCUGCACUGGAAGCACAGAAGCUUUCCAAGAGAACAAGGACUGUGAGGAAAUGGGGAGAAGGAGACAAACAUCCAUGUCAUUCAACUUCUCUAUCUCAGCACUCAUCUCUCAAAUGCCUAUGAAACCCUCUGAGACAGUAGAACCCUGCUUCACACUGCCAGGAAGAUGUCUUGAGGGAAAGAAAAGCAAAGAACACUGAAGUGUCAUGUGUGGAAAACAGCAUCUCAAGUUUGCUGAAGAUAUAAAAGGAAUUUUAAAAUAAAACUGAGCAUUCUGUCUGCCAAAACUUUAACAAGGAACUGAACAACAACACUGUACUACUUUCAGAUUUUUUAAAACAUCCCAACAAUCCCACUUACGUACUGGGAUUUUCCAAAGAGCCAAGACAGACAGGUACAUGCUUUCUCCUAACAGAGACAAGUAAUAAUUCCAGAGCUGUGCCGACAGACACUUUCCAUUUUUAAGGAGAAGGGAGCCGAGCAUUGAACAACCCACCCAGAAUAAAGCCUCAGAAAUCCUAUGCCACAAACAUUUCACAUGAAGCAAAUGCCAUUCUGAUACUUUUUUUUUAAAUUUCAGACACACAACCAAUGGAACAGCCAAGAGGCCUCGUGUUCCCCACCUCUGGUUUCUGGCUCACCAGCUGCCCUAAGAACAAAAUUAUGCCAUUUUUCUUGGAGGAUUUGAUGAAAACUGAUAGGUUCCUGUGGAACAUUGAGUCCAACAAAUCAGUGUUUCCCCAAAGAAAGCUUUCUGUCAGAAUAUAUCCUGUCAGCUGUAGACCCCUCCCUUACAUCUGUUUUCAAGAUUAGCAAACUGCAGCUUUUCCCCCAUUUUUUUUGUUUGUUGUUGAUUUUGUUGUUUGUGGGGUUGUUUUUCUUUUUUAACCAUCAGGAAUACAAGUUUCCCCUCUUUCAGGUCCAUGUCUCUGAAAGAGGUAUUACAAAUGAAGGAAACUGUCUCCAUUAAGUAAAACACCAACACAACAAAUCAAUAAAAUAAGCUUUUUGUACUCUUCAGCUCAUCUUUAGCUCAGAAAUGCACUCCUGAGUGAAAAGGAUUACAAAACUAAUACUACUUAAAAACCUAACAGGAAAAGCUUCCUACAGAUGCUCAUAAUUCAAACAUAUUUAAGCUAUUUAUGAUCAUUUUAAUUUCAGAAGAUCCACUCUUAUCUACAUAUGCACUAAAUGAGAAUGGAGUCCUCCAGAGAUGAAGCCUGUGAUCUAAACACUGCAUAGAAAUGCAAAUUCAACCAAAAACCAGAGGUGUGCAGGCAACCUGGAUGCCAUUGUUUCUUAAUUUUGAAUUCCUGAAAACGCCAGACUACUGACCUCGGACAUCAGUGGUAAAGCACAGGAUGUGGGUACAUUGUGUGUAUUUUAUGUACACAGCACCAUCUCACCUGGACAUAUACCUACCUGUUCCUGGAUAUGUUGACCAAAAGGAAGCUGAGAUUUACAAGGUAAAAAAAGACUCAGAAGUUUCAAGCAUAAGGCAACAACAUUUUCAGGUAAGGUGCAGAUGCUGAUACACUGCCAAAAACAGUACCUACGACAGUGUCUGGCACUCCUACAGAAGGAAGAUCAGUAUCUCUUUGCCCACCACUAACAAUGCAUGCCACACCCCAAGAGCUGGUUCAGUACUACUCAGUUCACAUACCCAUGGACUUUCAAAGUAAUCACAUGGUAUUUUAUCUCCAGCCUUGUUCAUCUAGUCAGCUUAUUCCUCCUGAAGGAUCUGAAAGUUUUCCACAUCUCCACAGAGCUUAAGCCAUUCAUUGAGUUAGUUAAUUUUUCACCUGCUAUGAAAUUUAGUUACUCCUGGGCCUUUUCUGUUAUAAUGCUAUUUCAGGGUUUGGGUGGGCAUGCAGUGGUAUUAAAGAAAUGUUUGUACAUCUUUGUUUUCAAGAAGUGUUAAAUAAAUUAAAAUUAAAAAACUGUUAAC
Non-coding RNA from Phalacrocorax carbo (great cormorant), 2198 nucleotides. NCBI's taxonomy places the organism in Eukaryota, Metazoa, Chordata, Aves, Suliformes, Phalacrocoracidae. The record is from RefSeq and is a predicted model, not a curated record.